UAGAUCGACCAUAUAAAUCUUUAUGUUCAGAGCUGUCAGACUUGGGGUCAAGCUCCAGAGUGCUCUUCCUCCAGGUCAAGCUCCAGUGUGCUCUUCCUCCAGGUCAAGCUCCAGUGUGCUCUUCCUCCAGGUCAAGCUCCAGUGUGCUCUUCCUCCAGGUCAAGCUCCAGUGUGCUCUCCCCCAGGUCAAGCUCCAGUGUGCUCUUCCCCCAGGUCAAGCUCCAGGGUACUCUUCCCCCAGGUCAAGCUCCAGUGUGCCCUUCCUCCAGGUCAAGCUCCAGUGUGCUCUUCCUCCAGGUCAAGCUCCAGUGUGCUCUUCCCCCAGGUCAAGCUCCAGGGUACUCUUCCCCCAGGUCAAGCUCCAGUGUGCCCUUCCUCCAGGUCAAGCUCCAGUGUGCUCUUCCUCCAGGUCAAGCUCCAGUGUGCUCU
Long non-coding RNA from Oncorhynchus tshawytscha (Chinook salmon), 429 nucleotides. Lineage: Eukaryota; Metazoa; Chordata; Actinopteri; Salmoniformes; Salmonidae. The record is from Ensembl.